Molecule: long non-coding RNA, 347 nt
Filed under: Homo sapiens (human)
Lineage: Eukaryota; Metazoa; Chordata; Mammalia; Primates; Hominidae
Description: novel transcript
Source: RNAcentral
UAAGCUGAAGAUAUAUACUGUAUAAAGUGCUUCAUCUACCUAAUUCUCUGAAGUCUUUUUUUUUUCUGUGUUUUAAGACUUUAUCAUUAAAAAAAGAAGAAAUUAGAGAAGGGAGGUGGGGGGGACAGGAGGGUGAAAGAAUCUCUCCAAAAUGUCGGAUCCGGGCGACCCUCCUUCCCUGACUGCCCAGCCACCCUGUCCCUUCUCUGUCCUCGCGGCGAGGCCCUAGCUGCCAUCUUCUGGGGACCAAGGCCCAGGAGCCCAGCUCGGGUCCCAGGCAGAGGUGAAGGCAGAAGCGGGGCUCAGAGCCUGGAGGUAGGCGUUGAGCGGAGAGGCCUUUGGAGGUG